This 492-nucleotide ribosomal RNA is filed under the name uncultured bacterium. RNAcentral's name for it is "partial 16S ribosomal RNA". It matches the Rfam family "Bacterial small subunit ribosomal RNA", at positions 28 to 507 of the family's 1533-position model. The record is from RNAcentral.
GAUGAACGCUAGCUACAGGCUUAACACAUGCAAGUCGAGGGGAAACGCCAUCGAAAGCUUGCUUUUGAUGGGCGUCGACCGGCGCACGGGUGAGUAACGCGUAUCCAACCUGCCCAUCACUUGGGAAUAACCUUGCGAAAGUAAGACUAAUACCCAAUGAUAUCCCACGAAGGCAUCGGAAUGGGAUUAAAGAUUUAUCGGUGAUGGAUGGGGAUGCAUCUGAUUAGCUUGUUGGCGGGGUAACGGCCCACCAAGGCAACGAUCAGUAGGGGUUCUGAGAGGAAGGUCCCCCACAUUGGAACUGAGACACGGUCCAAACUCCUACGGGAGGCAGCAGUGAGGAAUAUUGGUCAAUGGGCGAGAGCCUGAACCAGCCAAGUAGCGUGCAGGAAGACGGCCCUAUGGGUUGUAAACUGCUUUUAUAAGGGAAUAAAGUGGGUCACGUGUGACUUUCUGCAUGUACCUUAUGAAUAAGGACCGGCUAAUUCCGUG